UUGGCAAAGAUCAAACAGCAAUAAACAAAGAACAAACCAGAAACAACAGUAAACAACUAGAGAUGGAUAAGAUAGUCACUCACUCCACCAGUAAAUGUAGAAUUAUAAACAGGACUAACCUUACCUUUCCUGCAUGUUCAGAGUUCUACAAAAAAUAAAAUGAUCUCUCUAAAUUAGUACUACAAAUAGUAUGGAUUUAUAUACAAGUGUAGAUAGAGAAAGUUAAGAUACAAUAAAAUUGUUUGGGGUGAAUGCUUUUUAAUAAUCAGGAACAAAGGAAUUAAAUUAUCAAGGGUGUAUGUGGUAUCUGUGUGGAAUGACAAACAAUAUGGGUCAAUAAGGAAAUAAUACGUUUCCAAUAAUGUGAGGUUUAACUAAUUAGUAUUGUGAAAAUCAGUUACAAAAUUUUGUUUCUUGAGCAGUAGGUCACAUGAUUUGUUUUCUUUGAUUAAUCCUCUAUAUUGCUUUCCCAUUGUAUAGCCAAUACUUUUUUUUGUUAAUAGCUCAUCAGAUCAGAGUAGCAAAUAGAAUGUACUAACAAGAGAGUUUGUCUUAGCUUGCUUCAUCUUCUCAUUGGUAUUGCAGGUUUCACACUCGAUUACUUUGCUUCUUUUGGGAAAAUGCAAAUGAUAGGUUGACAAGUUUAGUACUCUAAAGUGUCCUCUAAUAUGAUAAAUAGUCUUUACAAAAGAAACAGGAUUUGAUACGUAGUAAAAAAAAAUUGUCAAUGACUAAGGUCUACUAGCUGAACCGUAUAUGCAUAGUCUCCACGCAUGCUAAACAAGUUGGAAUAAAAAAAGAAAGAUAAACAAUAACGUAUGUAGAAGUUCAUGUGGGAUGAUUGCCAAAUGUGAUUUGGAGCUCAGUUAGGUAAUUGAGCUAAAUCUGGUGGUUUAGUUCUUCAUUUUUUUCUGUCUUUUCUAACCCUUUUUUUUUAUAUAUAAAUACAUGGACCUAGAACAUAUUCUAAUUAACUGGUCUUUAUUUUAUUCGAAAAAAUAUUACUAAAUUUACUUCAUGUAUCAGAAUACUUUAUUUGUUAUAAAAGACAUUGUUGCUUACUAUGACAACAUUUAUUUUUAUUUAGGCAGAAUUUAGCUGCUAGCUUUUUAAGAUAUGUACAAUAUGGUGGGCUAGAACCGGUUGUUUCUAAUCCAAAUCCCCUGUUAUAAUCAACACUCUUAUUAGACACUUUGUUGUCAAUACUACUUUUACAUGUGUUUUAUAUAUGGUGGAAAAUCAAAGGAUGUCCCAGAAAGUAAUCAGCAUUGAAGAGAUCGAUGAUUCUAGAGAGACCUGAAAAUUGGUUGUGAGAAUAACAAAUAUUUGAAGCAGAUUGUGGUCUCAAAAAUGGAUAGUUGAAAUGAUCUUUGUUGACAAAAAGAUAUCAUUGGUGAGUUAAUUGAUAUAGAGCAAUGGCAACUUGAGAGUGACCUAAAGAAAACUGUUUCGACUCCGAGGAAUGAAAGGGGUAAUACACUCACAUGCAAUUUGUGGGGAGCCUUUGCAAUCCAGUUGAAAACCUACAUGGAUAUGAAUCAAAAGGAGUCUGGGCCAGUGGUGAUCUUACUGCAACUAGCCAAGAUUAAAGUAGCUAAAGGUUUGUUACCAUGAAUUUACUAUAAUCAAUUUGUUAUAUUAAAGUGUAUUUUGUGUUAUUUUUUUGUCUUGGAUUUGAUUCCUUUUUAUAUUAAUCUAUAAUUAGGAAUCAAUCUCCUCUGUAUUAAAAACUUAAAGAAUGCUUCAUUAAUGAAAGCAUCAAAGAGAUUGAGGAUUUCAAAAAAAGAUAUUUAUUUAUUGAUUUGAUGUAUUAUUGUACAAUACAAUGUAAUCACCACUGUGUGAUGUCUCUAUAUGUAGUUUGAAUUCAAGUCGGA
This is a long non-coding RNA of Glycine soja, 1877 nucleotides long. RefSeq lists it as uncharacterized. The record is from RefSeq and is a predicted model, not a curated record. Lineage: Eukaryota; Viridiplantae; Streptophyta; Magnoliopsida; Fabales; Fabaceae. The transcript is spliced from 3 exons.